This 253-nucleotide ribosomal RNA is filed under the name uncultured bacterium. RNAcentral describes it as "partial 16S ribosomal RNA". It matches the Rfam family "Bacterial small subunit ribosomal RNA", at positions 524 to 776 of the family's 1533-position model. The record is from RNAcentral.
UACAGAGGGUGCAAGCGUUAAUCGGAAUUACUGGGCGUAAAGCGCGUGUAGGCGGGUCUUUAAGUCAGGGGUGAAAUGCCAGGGCUCAACCUUGGAACUGCCUUUGAUACUGGAGACCUUGAGUCCGGGAGAGGUGAGUGGAACUGCGAGUGUAGAGGUGAAAUGCGUAGAUAUCGGGAGGAACACCUGUGGCGAAAGCGGCUCACUGGACCACAACUGACGCUGAGGCGCGAAAGCUAGGGGAGCAAACAGG